This 22631-nucleotide long non-coding RNA is filed under the name Nicotiana tabacum (common tobacco). RNAcentral's name for it is "long non-coding RNA (NTAB_LNC005255)". The record is from RNAcentral. Lineage: Eukaryota; Viridiplantae; Streptophyta; Magnoliopsida; Solanales; Solanaceae.
UUUUCACCCUUUUUUGCUCAAUUCCACUCCAAUUGAAUUCAAAUCACUUCAUGGCAUCAUUUACCUAAAACUCUAACAAUACACACCAUAAAAGACCUCAUAUUAUAGUUAAAGGACAUAAAAGCUAAAGAAAAGAGACUAGAAUGAGCGGUAAAAUCACCACUCAUCAGCCGGCUGAAUUAAUAAGAAUUGCAAGUAACGGAAGAGAAUAGAGAGCUUUUGAGAGUGUUAGAGUGUAGAUGAACUAGUGUUCGUGUCUCGAAGUAAGGAGUAAAGGAGAGUAUAUAUAGCAAUUAAGAGCAAGGAAAAAAUAAGGUAAAGGGAAUCAACCCUUCUGCAAUUAAGGAAGCCACAAAAUCAAUUAUACAUUAGUUAGUAUAAUUUUCCCUUAAUUAAGGGUAAUCAGCCAACGGUAAAGGUAGAACACAUUUAAGGAAAGAAAAUCAAUGAGCAAUUAGGGGUAAAUUGAUAGGUUUUUAAUUAAGGAAAUAAUUGGUAACGAAUCAGUAAAUAUCACAAUUAAUCAAAUAUUGUAAGAAAGCGGCUCAAGAUUAUAAAUAAGGAAAUAGUCAGGAAUGGGUCUUACCAAAACAAAUAGAUAAAUCAAGAAUCCAAAUCAAUCAUUGAUUUAAGGAAAAAGUAUAGGUUUACCAUGAAUAGGUAAAAAAAUGAACAUAGACAUAUGGAAUUAGUAGAAGAGUCGAACAUCAAUAGAGGUACAUUAGGACCAAAAAACAUCGAAUUAGGCUAAGAAGAAUCACAGAAACCAAUGUAUAGUACAAAGUCAGUACCCAAGUAACCUAGACAAACUCAGAAACCAAACAAUAAUGUCGAGAAAUUAGGUUUUUUAGCAUAAAUAAGUCAGGGUUAGAGCAAUCUUCAUGACAUCUGUCAAAACACACAAGAAACAGAAGAUUAAACACUCAAAAAUCAUUAAACGUUUUGGAGAAAGAAAAUUUCAGGAAACCCUAGUCUUAGAAGUCAAAAACCUGAAGUACUAUAGCGUUUAAAAUCAGUCAGUAGUAGAGGAAUAAGAGAAACUUAAAGAAAAAUCACAGAAACUCGAGAACAUUUUCAAAUAUGUAGAGAUUCAAGCAGUAGAUAGCAAAGGACCCAAGAUAUAGUGCUAAAAUCGGUUAGCAGUAAAGAAAUAAGAGAUCUUUAAAGAAAAGUCAUUAACAAACUCAGAAUCCUUCCAGAUCUACAAAGAUCAGACGGAUUCAUGACCAAAGAUUAGGGUUUUGAGGAGAAAGGGGAGGGGUAAGGAGAACCUAAUUUUGAACUAGAGAUUUGAACCAUGGAAUUUCAAUAGAAAUCACUCGCAAACCGUGGACGAACCCUUGAAAUGCUUUGAACGAGAUCUGGACCAUAUCUCUUCUAGGUUCUUCCACAAAAGCCACAUAAUCGAAUAACCAAGGAGAUAAGAGACAAGUAGAGGUUUCGUACAACCAUAUGAUGCCAUAGAUCGAAUAGGGAUUCCAAGGUUUGGGGUUGAUUUUGGGUGAUGGUGAUUAGGGUUAGGGGUUGGUUUCAGAGAGAACUGGAGAGGAAGGGAUUCAAGGGCGACUGUGUGUGCGAAAUGGUUAGGAUUUAGGGGUCGUUUGAAACUAAAAAAGAAAGGAUGGAUUGUGGCUGUUGAUCUCUAUGAUCAAUGGCCAAGAUCAAAUAAAAUUGGGGCUGGAUCUAUUUAGGUUAAAUUGGGCUAGGUAGGUUUAGGUUAAAAUUGGGCUGGGUAUUGGGUCAAAAUUGAGGCCAAAAUUGAAAUAAAAUAAGGCCAGAUUUUAAAUAGCAACUUUUAAUAACUAAAUAAUUUAUAAAAUAAUAAAUGAGUACCAAAAAAAUAUCUUUAUGUAUUAAAAUAAUUUUAAAUAGUUAUUUAACAUUUUAAAAAUAUGAAAGAUCAUUUUAUACAUAAAUAAUGUAGUUAUACAUUAGUAUGGGCUGUUUUUGCAAAGAUAUGCAAUUUAGCUUAAAAAUGUAAAUAUAAUUAUGAAAAAUGCACAAAAAUAUUUAAACACUAUGUUGGCAUAAAUAAUGAAUUUAAAUGGCUAAAUCACCAUAAAAGUAAUUUGAACGAUAAUUAUUGGAUAUUUAUAUAAAUAAAAAGAGAAGAAAUAAAUUGAUUUGGAGCUUUUAAAAUAAUAAAAAUACUUAUGCAUGCUUAUAACUACAUAUUUACUAUUUUGAAAGCAUAUAUACAUAUUUUUAAAAAAUAUAUGAGGAAAAAUUUGGUAUCAACAAUUGCCCCGACGCUUAGACUUUUCUCUUUUAAAUACCUUAGGAUGGGCUAGAACCACCUAAAUUAGAGGUCCCAAAUACCUCCAGGGCCACAAGGAAGGGACAGGUAGUGAACACAUAGGAUAUCACUCAACAGCUGCCCCUCUUUACCCGGGAAUGAUGAAAGAGUUUUCGGGUAAAGAAAUAAUGGCCAAUUUUGACCUGAUGGGAUGUUUUGAAGGACAGAGGCCGUACUCUAGUCUUUGAGCUACCUACAUAUCCCUAGUUUUAUAGGAAUCAGGACAUGUGUAGUUCUGGAUUCAUUGGCGGAAUAUACCGAUGAAGUCAUUGUAAGAAGACACGAGAUGCAAGAGCAGUUAUGUUGAACGGUUAGGUUUGAGUUAAUUUGAAGGAACUAGAGCGAGGUCACUCCUGCUAGGAUAGUGGUUGCUUGUUGGUCACCCUGUAGAUAAAGAGAUGCUAGAGACAUGUAUUUGUGCGGAAAUUUAAACAUGAUGCAGAUUCCCUUUGGACCAUGAAAGUUGUCUUUGGACGAUUAAGGAUGAUGUACUCAGACCAUGAUAUCCCGGGCCAUGAAUUGUUUAGUGAAGGAUCUGCAGGCCGUGAAAUGAUGUUCUCGGGCCAUGAAGAUGGUGCCUCCGAACAAUGACGCCUUUGAAUAAUGAUAUGCAAAUUUGAGGGAUCCUCAAGCCAUGGCAUGUUGUCUUCCGGCUAUGAGUAGAAUGCCUUUUAGACUAUGAUGCCUUUGGAUAAGUUAGCGAUAUUUCAGCCCAUAAGAUGUAAUAAUAUGAUGCUACCAAAACAAUGCUUAGUCUUGUGAAAUGAAGGGAAGCGCUUAGCUCGAUUGAAAAGCAAGUAGAUAGUACUAGAAUAGAGCAAUAUUUAUGUAAAGGGUCAGUGCUUAGUCCCAUGCAGGUAUGGAGGCAAGGAUUAGCCUCAUGAAGGUAUGAAGGAAAGGAUUAGCCUCAUGCAGGUAUGGAGGCAAGGAUUAUCCACAUGCAAGUAUGGAGACAAGGAUUAGCCUCAUGCAAGUAGGGAGGUAGGGAUUAGUCUCAUGCAGGUAGGGAGGUAUGGAUUAGCCUCACGUAGGUAGGGAGGCAGGGAUUAGCCUCAUGUAGAUGCAGAGGCAGAGAUUAGCCUCAUGUAAAUAUGGAGGCAAGGAUUAGUCUCAUGCAAAUAUGGAGGCAAGGAUUAGCCUCAUACAUGUAGGGAGGCAGAGAUUAGCCUCAUGCAGAUGUGGAGGUAAGGAUUAGCCUCAUGAAAGUAGGGAGGUUGGGAUUAGCAACAUGCAGGUAAGGAGGCAGGGAUUAGCCUCAUGCAAAUGUGGAGGUANNNNNNNNNNNNNNNNNNNNNNNNNNNNNNNNNNNNNNNNNNNNNNNNNNNNNNNNNNNNNNNNNNNNNNNNNNNNNNNNNNNNNNNNNNNNNNNNNNNNNNNNNNNNNNNNNNNNNNNNNNNNNNNNNNNNNNNNNNNNNNNNNNNNNNNNNNNNNNNNNNNNNNNNNNNNNNNNNNNNNNNNNNNNNNNNNNNNNNNNNNNNNNNUGCAGAUAGGAGGCAAGGAUUAGCCUCAUGCAGAUAGGGAGGCAAGGAUUAGCCUCAUGCAAAUAUAGAGGCAGGGAUUAGUCUCAUGUAAAUAUGGAGGCACGGAUUAGCCUCAUGCAAUUAUGGAGGCAAGCAUUAGCCUCAUGCAAAUCUGGAGGCAGGGAUUAGCCUCAUGCAUAUACGGAGGCAGAGGUUAGCCUCAUGCAAGUAUGGAGGCAAGGAUUAGCCUCAUGCAAAUAUGGAGGCAGGGAUUAGCCUCAUGCAAGUAUGCAGGACAAGGCUUAGUCCCAUUCAAAGAGCGAGUAGCAAAUAAGAGUGGUGUAUUUCUUAGUUGGAGAUAUAUUCGGUGUCUGAUGGCCGGAUUGAUAGUGAAUUUGCUUUGUGUAUACAUGUUUGCGAAUUCUAUCGCUACGUUUAAUGUGCCUGCGUUCAAAGAAAAAUUGUGAGUUUUUUUAGGGGGAGGUUGCUUCGCACUUCUAUUUGUUGGCCUUGCUUUGUCCGUUCUGAAGGCCUUUUCGAGUUUCACUAGGUAAUAUCUCGCUGUUACCGAAACAUAGUUUUCAAAAAAUAUGCGAUUAUUGAUAAAAAUAGAGUUAUUUUAGAAAACAUAGUGAAAUAUCAAGUAUUUUCGAUGAACUAGUGAUCGUAACAUAUUUUAGAGACAUUGCCACUCCCUCAUGUUAGAAUUUUAAGGGUCUUCCUCAAAAUUCUGCCCCAGUUUGGUAAAUGAUCCUUCGGUUGUUUGCGGGUAACGAGCCUUGUUGAUCCUUCCUCAAAUUUUGAGAAUCCUUCUCAAAAUUCUGCCCUAGUUUCUUAAUCGAUUUCCGGCUGUUUGACAUACGCUAGUGUUGGCUGGACUUGCUCGGAAUUUUGAGGGACCUUCUCAAAAUUUUGCCCCAGUAUCUGAUCUUGGGGGAAAUGGAAAUUUUAUUAUGAUAUGAUCGAACCUAUAAGGCUGCCUACGUAUCCCCUCUUAAAUGGGAAUCAGGUCAAGUGUAGUUCAAUUACAUCAGAUGAGGAAAUGUAAAUAAUCUAAGAAUAGUAUCUUUUCACUGCGUCUAAAUUGAUUGGUUUUGGCCAGAUUUCUCAAUCCAUUUCUGCGAGUAUGAGUGCUCCUCCUGUUAACACCUUGUGAACCAUGUAAUAACCUUGCCAGUUGGGAGAGAAUUUCCCUUUGGCUUCAUCUUGGUAUGAGAAAAUCUUCUUUAACACUAACUGUCCUGGUGCAAAUUUGCCUUGGUUUGAUCCUUUUGUUGAAAGCUCUAGACAUUCUGUUCUGGUAAAGUUGACUGUGACAUACUGUGUUCAUUCUUUUUCCAUCUAUAAGGAUCAAUUGUUCAUAGCGGCUUCUUAUCCAUUCUACAUCGCUGAGUUCAGCUUUCUGUAUGAUUCUUAAAGAAGAAAUCUAUACCUCGGCUGGGAUGACAUCCUCGGUACCAUAAACCAGCAUGUAAGGAGUUACCCUGAUUGAUGUGUGAACCGUAGUGCGGUAUCCUAAUAAAGCAAAAGGUAGCUUCUCGUGCCAUUAUUUGUNNNNNNNNNNNNNNNNNNNNNUGUUUGAUUUUGAAAGUUUCACACAUGGAUUUCAUCAUAUCACUGUUGAGAUUAGCAACAUUAUCGGUAACAAUGGACUCGGGUACUCCGAAUCGGCAAAUGAUAUGAUCUCUGACAAAAUCUGCAAUGACUUUCUUGGUUACAGCUUUGUAAGAUGCAUCCUCUACCCAUUUUGUGAAGUAAUCAAUGGCUACCAGAAUAAACCUGUGUCCGUUUGAAGCAGUUGGCUCAAUCGGACCGAUGACAUCCAUUCCCCAGGCGGCGAAUGGCCAAGGUGAGCUUGUGGCAUUGAGCUCAUUUGGCGGUACUUUUAUCAUAUCAGAGUGCACUUGACAUUGGUAGCAUUUGCGGACAUAUUGGAUGCAAUCUGUCUCCAUGGUCAUCCAAAAGUAACCAGCCCUAAGUAUCUCUUAGAAAAGACAAAAUCAUUCAUGUGCGGACCGCAGGUCCCAGCAUGUAUCUCCUCAAGUAGCUUAGAAGCUUCUCUUGUGUCGACACAUCUUAGUAAUCCCAAAUUGGGAGUUCUCCUAUACAAGUUUCCUCCGCUGUGGAAGAAGUGAUUGGACAAUCUCCGGAGUGUGCCUUUUUGAGUGUGGUUCGGAUGCUCUGGAUAUUUCCUUUUCGCCAGAUACUCCUUGAUGUCAUGGUACCAAGGUUUUCCAUCUGUUUCUUCUGCAACAUGGGCACAAUAUGCCGACUGAUUAUGAAUUCUCACCGGAAUGGGAUAAAUAUAAUUCUUAUCUGGUUGUUGUAUCAUGGAUGAUAAAGUGGCCAACGCAUCGGCAAACUCAUCCUGAAUUCUAGGCACAUGCCGGAACUCUAUCUUUGUGAACCUCUUUCUCAAUUCCUCCACAAUGUGCAGAUAUGGAAAUAUCUUGGAAUUUUUGGUGGCCCAUUCUCCUUGUACCUGAUGCACGAGCAAAUCUAAAUCACCGAUUACCAGCAGCUCCUAAAUAUUCAUAUCGAUUGCUAUAUUGAGUCCUAGUAUGCAGGCUUCAUAUUCCGCCAGGUUGUUGGUGCAGGGAAAUAUGAGUUUAGCAGAUACCGGAUAAUGUUGACCUAUUUCUGAUACCAAAACUGCUCCAAUGCCUACUCCUUUGAAAUUUGCAUCUCCGUCAAAGAACAUCCUCCAACCGUCGUAUGCUUCGGUAAUGUCCUCUCCUAUGAAUGACAUUUCUUCAUCAGGAAAAUACGUUUUCAAGGGUUCGUAUUCUCCUCCCAGCGGGUUUUCAGCAAGAUGAUCUGCCAGUGCUUGCCCUUUGACUGCCUUUUGAGUUACGUAGACGAUAUUGAACUCACUCAACAGUAUCUGCAACUUGGCUAGCUUCCCAGUUGGCAUGGGUUUCUGAAAUAUUUACUUCAAAGGGUCCAUCCUGGAUAUGAGGUGUGUAGUAUAGGCACAGAAGUAAUGCCUCAACUUCUGGGCCGUCCAAGUCAAAGCACAACAAGUGCGCUCUAGUAGAGAGUACCGCGCUUUGUAAGGUAUGAACUUCUUACUCAAGUAAUAUAUGGCUUGCUCCUUUCUUCCUGUCUCGUCAUGUUUUUUCCAGAACACAUUAGAAGGCGUCGUCCAAUACAGAUAGAUAGAGUAGCAAAGGCCGUCCUGACUCUGGCGGGACCAAAACUGGUGGUGUGGAUAGGUACUCCUUGAUCUUGUCAGAAGCUUUCUGACAAUCCUCGGUCCAACUUGUCUCGGCAUCUUUUCUCAGCAUCUUGAAGAUAGGUUCACAUACGACUGUGUACUGUGCUAUGAAUCGACUGAUAUAGUUGAGACGUCCUAGGAAUCUCAUCACAUCCUUUUUGCUCCUAGGUGGCGAUAACUCCUGAAUAGCCUUAACUUUCGACGGAUCCAUCUCGAUCUCUCGACGAUUGACAAUGAAUCCCAGUAACUUUCCCGCGGGAACCCCGAAUGCACUCUUUGCAGGGUUCAGCUUCAAAUUGUACCUCCUUAACCUGUCAAAGAACUUUCUCAAGUCUGCUAUGUGAUCUGCAGCCCUCUUGGAUUUGAUAAUAACGUCGUCCACAUAUACCACUAUUUCUUUGUGCAUCAUAUCAUGGAAGAUGGUUGUCAUGACCCUCAUGCAGGUAGCCCCAACAUUCUUUAGACCAAAUGACAUCAUCUUAUAGCAGUAUACCCCCUUGGUGUAAUAAAAGCAGUUUUUUUCGCAUUUUCUUCGUCCAUCCAGAUCUGGUGAUAAACCGUGAAGCAAUCCACAAAGGAUGGGAGUUCAUGCUUGGCGCAAUUGUCAAUUAGGAUGUGUAUAUUUGGUAGUGGAAAGUCAUCUGUAGGACUAGCUCUAUUUAAAUCUCGAUAAUCGAUACAUACUCUGACUUUCCCUGAGAACUUUGGCUUUGAUCUGCUUGGUAACUUCCUCCUUUAUCUUCAUGCUCAUAUCUAGUUUAAACUUUUUAAGUUUCUGCUUCACCGGCAGACACAUGGGAUUAGUAGGCAACUUCUGAGCCACUAUGGAGGUGCUCAAACCGGUCAUGUCAUAAUAUGACCAUGCGAAAAUGUCUUCAAACUCCUUUAAGAAACAUAUGUACUCUUCCUUCUUUGUUGGCGAUAAGUGAAUGUUGAUGCGAGUCUCCUUGACGAUCUCGGUGUCCCCCAAAUUUAUUUCUUCGGUCUCGUCCAUGUUGGACUUAGGCUUAUUCUCAAAAUUUUCAGCUUUCCUCACAAAUUCCUCAAGUAUCUCAUCUUCUUCAUCUGAAUCACUAUUCUCAUGUUGCGUUGCCUCAUUACAUGUCACAGUCAAUGGUUCAUCGGGAAAAGUACUAAUAACAUUGUAGAAAGAAAAAGUGUAGAAAAUAGUAACGAAUAAUAAAGAGCAAAUGCAUUUGAUUAAAAUUAAACAACAUCCAGCUAAGUGCGGCUCGAUGAAUCGAGCAUUUAUUUUGAAACAAGUAAGUCUUUAAAACAAAAUUACUGAAAAUCUUAAAUGCCUAGAAUGGAUAUAGAAAUAAAAUUUGCCAAGCUACCUAGGGACUCGGCGGGCCUGGGAUGGUCAGGCGGUCCAGUUCCUGAGAAUAGUUCCCUUCUCCACAUUCUAAAUAGUGAGGCAUUCUUCCUCCUCCUCAAUUAUUUCACAGUAGUCCAUGUAUUUGUCCUCCAAGAACAGAUUCCUCAGCCCCGCUAACGCUUAUUCUUCUAUAGUUCCCCAUAUUGUGUCAGCUUGGUGAGAAGUCUGAUUUAGAUGCGACACUGAUUGCUCGAGAAGGUAAAAGGGUUCGCACUAUGGAGGCCACCAAUCAUUAUACUCUCGCCAUGUGUACUGAUAUCCGAGCCUAAAGGUAGUACCAUGACCCUUUAGUCGUAUCAGUUUAGCGAAACCCUGGAGAUUCUUUCCAAGCCCUUUGUCGGGUUCAUACCCAGACCAUGCCAUUAUGCUCUCUAUUUUACUGCUCCACCAUUUAUCUUUCUCAAUGGCAUUGACACGUUCAAUGUAAUGAUAAGUUUCCCCUCCUAGCCUUCUUCUAUGUCCAAUAACCAGGAUGGUUUGACUGGUGUAAAUGGGGUUACUCUUGUCUCUGUGAAUGAUCACCUCUUGACAAUUCCAUUCGAAUUUCACCGCUUGAUGUAGUGUGGAUGCCACAUCCCCAGCGGCAUGGAUCCAUGGUCGACCCAACAGAAGAUUGUAUGAGGCUGGUAUGUCAAGCACCUAAAACUCGGCGUCGAACCAAGUUGGCCCCAUAUGUAGACAAAGGUUAAUUUACCCGAUCGUGGCCCUUUGAGAUCCGUCAAAAGCUUUCAUGUUCAUGCUUCCUGUCCGUAUUUCAUGAAAACCUUUGUCCAACCUUUUCAAAGUAUCCAACGGACAAAUGUUGAGGCUUGAGCCUCCAUUAACCAAGACCCUGUCAAUAAACUUGUCUUCAAAUUGCACUGUGAUAUGUAAUUCCCUGUUGUGAUUCAACCCUUCAGGCGGUAUCUCAUCUUCGUGGAAGAUGAUUUUAUAAUUUUCCAAUACUUGCCCUACCAUAUUGGCCAUCUCUCCGCCUGUGAUAUUGUUGGGUACAUAAGCUUCACUCAACACCUUCAUUAAAGCAUUCUUAUGCACCUCUAAAUUUUGCACUAGCGACGGGAUGGAGAUUUGAGCUGGGGUUUUGUUCAAAUACUCAAUGACGGAAUACUCCUUUGCCUAUAUUUUCCUCCAAAGGUCAUCUGGACCUGUUUCAAUGACAUACUGCUUGGUAGUGGCAUCUUUACUUGGUCCUCCCAAGUGUUCAGGUGUAUAGAUUAUUCCAGUCCUAGUCAUUCCUUGUACGGCAUCAGAUUCCUCCAUCUUUGCCUUUCUUUUUCACCUAGCUUUGGCAACGUAAUCCCAGGGUAUUGCUUUUGAGUUGAAAGGAGGUGUGGUAGAUACUGUCACUGUGAAAGGUGUGGCCACUUCCACUUCAAAUGCAAUAGGGGUGGCCACAGGUGGGGCUACCUCUACCUCAAAUGGAACUGAUAUAGCUACCUCAACCUCGAUUGGUGACUGAGUCUGUACUACAAUAGGAGUAAGUGUGACAGAGGGUUUAAAGUCAUCGCCCUCCCAAAUAAGGCCAAUCGACCCCUCUAGGUCCCGUUCUUUGUUUGUCUCUAUCACAUGUACCCCACCACCCCUGUGAUCAGGGAGAGGGUUGUUGUAGACAUUGUGUGGAGCUUCCUUUGCCUGUAUGACCUUGUUGGCAAUCAGCGUCUAGAUCUUAUCUUUCAAUGUUCGACACACAUCACUGGUGUGCCCCUUCAUAGUGGAAUGGAAUGCACAAGUUUUGUUUGGAUUGACCCACUGGGAUAGAUUCUCUAAUGCCACAACAGGAAUGGGGGUGACAUAACCAGCGACUUUCAACCUUUCAUACAGUUGGUUGAUGGGUUCAACAAUGGCGGUGUAUUGUUUGGGUGGCUUGCGGUCAUAGUUUUGUCAUGGUCUUGAAAAAUUUUGGCAAGUUGAAGGUGAUUGAAAAUGGGAUGGUUGGGAAUUAUAGGUGUGAUGGACAACGGCUGGUUGGGAAUAUUUAGGAGAUGAGGGUUGUUAUGUGGGUGGUGGUGCUUGAUAUGUGGGUGGAGGUGUUUGAUAUAUGGGUGGAGGUGUUUGAUAGGUAAGUAGAGAUUUUGGGCCUUGAGCCACCAUUACUGCCCCAACGUCUCUCUUCUUUGAUAUGCCGCCUGAUUGUAAUGCCUUAUUUGUGGCUUGUAAUGCCUCAAAAUUCGUUACCAUCCCGUUUUGAUGCCUUCCUCAAUUCUUUCCCCAAGCUUGAUGAUAUCAGAGAACUUAUGGUUUUCAAUGACCAUUAAUCUUUCAUAAUAUUGCGGAUCAUGUGCUCUGACAAAGAACUUGUUCAUCUACUCCUCAUCCAGAGAUGGCCUGACCUUGGCCGCUUCUGACCUCCAAAGAGUAGCAUACUCACGGAAGGUUUCGGUGGGUUUCUUCUUAAGAUUCUGGAUGUAGAAAACAUCUGCUGCAUUCUCUGUAUUGAAGUUGAACUAGUCCAUGAAAUCCGACGCCAUACUCACCCAAUUGGACCAUUUCUUGGGAUCCUGGCUGAUGUACUAGGACAAAGCAUCUCCAGUAAGACUCCUCAUAAAGAGUUUCAUCCAGAUCUUUUCGUCUUUCCCGAUCCUGACAAGCUUGUCACAGUUGGUCCUAAGAUGAACCCUGGGAUCACCUGUGCCGUCAAACAUCUCGAACUUUGGAGGUUUGUAUCCCUCCAGCAGUUCUACAUUUGGCUGUAUGCAUAGGUCUUCAUAGUUCAAACUUUCUAUUCCUUUGCUGCCUUCGACACCUUGAACUCGGCUUGUCAACUUCUUGAGUUCUUCAACUAUGUUUUGAAUGAGCAAGUCCUUCUCGGAGGAUUCUAGGGUAUAGGAGAUUGGUUGGACAGAGUGAGGCACGAUUUCUAUGUAUAUGGGGUAGUUUUGGUGAGUACCCGGUGCCUGGGUGUAAUGGUGGUCAUUGGUAGAGUUUUGAGGAUCGGGAAUAGGUUGUGGUGUGUUUUGGGGAGUGCGGUAAGUGGUGGUUAGUGGGUACUGAAUUGGUUGAUGGUGGUGUUGUGGCCGAAUUGCUAUUGGUAGGGGAUUGCGAUUUUGGGGUGGGGUUGCAUAUUGAUGCGGUGUAGGAGGGUUUUACGGAUGUUGGUUUGGUGUGUUUUGGGGAGGUGCGGGGUUCUUUGUGUUUUGUUGGUUGAUAUCGGGGACAUUUAGGGUGAGUGAAAAGUUUGCCAAGUUGCGGACCUGCUCAAGCUCUCCUUGUAGAUCUAAUAUCUUUUGUUCUAACCUCAAGACUAGAUCAUUCGGUGCCGGGGUACUACGGCUGUCUGAAGUUUAUGCGUUCUCAGCAUUCUCCUUUCGAAUACCACUUAAAUCGUCCAUUUUUGCUUUUCAUUUGCCUUUUGUAUUGCUUGGAGGAGGUGGAGAGUCUCUAGAUUUGGUGUGAUAUGCUGACGAUGUCAGUGUGAGCGAACCAACCUUACGGGAUGGGAGUAAAUAAUAAAUAAAGACAAAAAGGUAAACAAGUCAGUAAGGAUUCUGAAAUGUUUGCAAUAUUUAAACACAUAUUGCGGGAAUAUAAAUUCAUGUCCUAAUUUGGGAACCUCGUUGAGCCUGAGGUAGGCCUAGUGACAAAUAAAUUUGGAGAAUUUUAGUGCCAAUAUCUGCCUCAUUUCAUUAAAGUAAAAGUAAACGAACCAAAACAAAACUAAAUAAGACAAUGUCACUACUGGCUCUUGACCUUAUUACAUUUGAAACAAAAGCAAAUAAAUCUAAUCUACUUGGUCCCAGAAGGACCCUCUCCAGACUGGAUUCUCUUAUCGAUCAAUUCUCCCAUCUCGUGCAGGUUCAACAGUAGGAAUGCCCUUGCAAGAUGCCCUCAUUCGUUCUCUUCAGCGUUCUGGCAGUUAGUGACCCUUUUUCUUAUCUUCCUUUCCAACUCUAUUAAACUGUAUUCCAGGUAUUCUAACCUCUCGCUGGAUUUAACAACUUUGUCUUUCCAUUCGUUAAUCAUCUCCAUAUCAGCCUUGUGCAGUGCCAUAUGCUCGGCUUCAGACUCUCGAACUCUUUUCUGCAGCUUGUUGUACUUCACCUCGGCUUCAACAACCUCGUCUAUGACCCUUUUUCCUGGCUCAACGACCCCAGUUAUGUUGUCCUCCAACACGAAGGUAAAGGUAUGAGUGACCUGCGUGAUAUCGGUCUGGCUCAAUAGUAUCCUUCUCCACAAUAAUCUUUAAGGUCCACAUAUGUUGUGCUUCAUUCCUAUACGAGAUGGCGUCACCUUGGAAACUGGUUCUGAAGUGACACAUUUUGGCGACUCGUGGUAUGAUUUGUCUCCUGCCUACUUCUCUCAUAACCCUGGAGGGAGCAUAAUGGUAUAUGCCCCCGAACCAGAUCACCACCAAGUGCGGAAAAUCCCUGGAUCUAAUGAUGAAUUCAUUGUUAUGGAACCACUCAAACAUCCACUGGACUUGAUCCUCAGUCAAAUUUUCAAAAAGUUGUACCCAUCCUACAGCGUCCUCUGGCUGAGAAACAUGUCUAGAAUAUAAUCAUUCUUUUGGGAUGAUAUAAGGCUAAAUGAUCAUUACACGGCCUUUGCAGAAAUACUUGAGGGUAUUGCCCCUUUUGGAGAUGUUCCAACAACCAGACCUAUAGUAGUAAGUUGCAACCCUUGAAGAACUUGAACCCCUUCUAGCACCGCUCCAAAGCCCGGUACAUGUCUGCAACAAUCAUAGGGAUGAUAGUGUAUAUCUCCCCCUCGAUCCCGUCCAUCAGAGUUUUCGUCACCAUGACCAACCUAGUAUGGAUCCUAUCCCCUUGGAUUGGGAAUACCAGCAUGCCCAAGAAAUACAUGAUAAAUACGAAGACCCUACGAUGAAUCCAACCUAAAGAAGUGAUUGAGAACUCAUCAUCAAAGAGGCGGUAAGAACUGUUGUGACAGUAUCUUUCGUAAAGGAACUCAAAAGGUAUGUAGGAGUCCUUUAGGCAUUUCAAGUUGUCAUUUUCCUUCAGCCCUGCCAUCUUCAGAAAUCCCCUAGGGUCAUGAGGUGCUAACAGAUUAGGACUAUCCCAAGGUAACCCAACAAAUCCUCCUAUCUCUUCUAAAAGGGGUGUCAUUUCUAUGUUCCCAAAAUGGAACACAACCCUUUCCUUGUCCCAAAACAUAGUUGCAGCCUCGAUCAGCAUUUUGUUGAGCUGAAGGUCCAUCAAAGAAGGCAAAUUUCCUAAAACUUGUUUCUCGUGGGUUUGGUCACAUGAAGUAAGAUCCCUCCACCAAUCUGGCAAAAGUGAGGGUGUGUUAACCAUACCGAAUCUGGGGACCUCGUGCCUCAUUUUCUGCAAAAACAAAGAGAGUUAGGCCCUUUCCCCCUCUAGGUUCGUCUAUUUAUACAGUAAUGAUUAGAAUAUUUGCACUUAUUUCUCCAAAUUAAUGCACAUAAUCGUGGUUACGUCCGUUGAGAUUAUGAAAAACCCGAUGGACUUUUGGACAAGACUUGUCUUAAAGGGUCAUUAUGUGGACAACAUAUUAACUCGGCUAGGUUUGACCAUGAUGCAUGUACGAUUUAAUCAGAGUAAGGUUGCUAUAGAGGUCUAGAUUGGGACCCUCAAGCGGACAACUUGAGGGGGAAAGGCACGGAACCGUCGAACGCACCGCUGAUCGACUAAUUUUACCGCAAAUACGCCUUUCCGAAUUUGAAGGGUGAUAUAUAGGAAGAGCGCAAACACUCACCAAGCGUUGCUAUAUGAUUAAUAACGCACGAGUGAAGUAUGAUGUUGAGCAUGAUUUAUGAAGCAAUAAAUAGCAUAUUGUCAAGUAUUUGCACGUAAGAAAAUAAUAAAUGCAGUAUUUAAAUAAUUGAAGAGACAGUUACAGAAAAAGAAAACAAGGAGACAAGUCAGUUUCAGGAAUAAAAGAAUCAUAAAUGCUUGAAAAUAGACAAUUAAAUUCAAAUAAGGGGAAAGGGUAUGUGGGAUAGAACAUGCUUGGACUAAUUCACAAAAGAUAAGUUCGUUAGGUAAGAGCCUAAAAAUAUCCUAAGCAAAGUCUACAUGCUAUCGCGCCCCCUUUUUUCCCUUUUUGACGGGGAAGUCCGAGUUUCGACAUUCAUGAGGGGAAUAACUCUUUUCCUUUUGGCAAUUGAGUAUUUGAAGAGUCGCCACCUAACGGAUUAUGGUGCGAUAGGGCACCUUGAGCAAUUAACUCAUAGACUAGUUUGCAUUACCAGAUAUUUAGGGUAAGAGCUCGAAAUAACCUUGAGGGGAAGGUGUUAGGCACCCUCGCGAUCCACAACGGUGGGUCCCGGCCGAACUUAAUCUAUGUGAAUUAGACCUUUUACAAAUUAAUAGUUUUAACACGUACUUGCAAGUAAAGGCUUGUUUUGUUAUUCUAAGCACAUGUAUGAUUCAAGUAAUGGAACAAGGGAAAAGGGUUGGAACAAGUUGCACAUAUAAAGAAAAAGUAAAUUUAUUUAAACAACGGGAGUUGGAAAAGAGGGGUCCUAGGUUGGUUAGCCUACAGGAUCAUACCCAUACAAUGCCCGGUAAACACUCUUCAACGAGGGGCUACACGUGACAUUUGUGCGUGAUCAUCAUAUUCCUUACUACCCAAUUCUCUCGCUUUGGUCAUAGCCUAAAGCGUUCUAGCAACCUUGAAUGAUAACCUAUGCGUGCACUACUCGUCUCUUCCUUGUGGCCCUGGAGGUAUUUAGGACCUCUAAUUUAGGUGGUUCUAGACCAUUCUAAGGUAUUUAAAGGAGAAAAGUCUAAGCAUUGAGGCAGCUGUUGUUACCCAAUUUUUCCUCAUAUAUUUUUUAAAAACACGUAUAUAUGCUUUCAAAAUAGUACAUAUGCAGUUAUAAGCAUGCAUAAGUAUUUUAUAAUUUUCCUAUAAUUUUAAAAGCUCCAAAUCAAUUUAUUUCUUCUCUUUUUAUUUAUAUAAAUAUCCAAUAAUUAUCCUUCAAAUUACUUUUGUGGUGAUUUAGCCAUUUGAAUUCAUUAUUUAUGCCAACAUAGUGUUUAAAUAUUUUUGUGCAUUUUUUGUAAUUAUAUUUACAUUUUAAAGCUAAUUUACAUAUCUUUGCAAAAACAGCCCAUACUAAUGUAUAACUACAUUAUUUAUGCAUAAAAUGAUCUUUCAUAUUUUUAAAAUAUUAAAUAACUAUUUUAAAUCAUUUUAAUACAUAAUAAUAUUUUUUUGGUACUUAUUUAUUAUUUUAUAAAUUAUUUAGUUAUUAAAAGUGGUGAUUUAAAAUCUAGCCUUAUUUUAUUUCAAUUUUGGCCUCAAUUUUGACCCAAUGCCCAGCCCGAUUUUAACCUAAACCUACCCAGCACAAUUUAACCUAAACCGACCCGGCCCCAAUUUUAUUUGAUCUCGGCCAUUGAUCAUAGAGAUCAACAGCCAGAAUCCACCCUUUCCCUUUUUAGUUUCAAACGACCCCUGAACCCUAACCAUUUCUCACGCACAACCGCCCUUGAAUCCCUUCCUCUCCAGUUCUCUCUGAAACCCACCCCUAACCCCAAUCGCCAUCACCCAAAAUCAACCCCAAACCUUAGAAUCCCUGUCCGAUCUAUGGCAUCCUAUGGCUGUACGAAGCCUCUACUUGUCUCAUAUCCCCCUGGUUUUUCGAUUAUGUGGUUUUUGUGGAAGAACCUCAAAGAGAUUUGGUCCAGAUCUCGUUCAAAGCUUUUCAAGGGUUCGUCCAUAGUUUGCGAGUUAUUUCUAUUGAAGUUUCAAGGUUCAAAUCUCUGGUUCAAAACUAGGUUCUCUUUACCCCUCCCCUUUCUCCUCAAAACCCUAAUCUUUGGCAAUGAAUCCGUCCGAUAUUUGUAGAUCUGGAAGGAUUCUAAGUUUAUCAACAACUUUUCUUUAAAGAUCUCUUGUUUCUUUACUGCUAACCGAUUUUAGCACUAUAUCUUGGGUCCUUUGCUAUCUACUGCUUGAAUCUCUGCAUACUUGAAAAUGUUCUCGAGUUUCUGUGAUUUUUCUUUAAGUUUCUCUUAUUCCUCUACUAGUAACUGAUUUUAAACGCUAUAGUACUUCAGGUUUUUGACUUCUACGACUAAGGUUUCCUGAAAUUUACUUUCUCCAAAACGUUAAUGAUUUUUGAGUAUUUAAUCUUCUGUUUCUUGUGUGUUUUGACCGAUUUCAUGAAGAUUGCUUUAACCCUGACUUGUUUAUGCUAAAAGCCCUAUUUUCUCGACAUUAUUAUUUGGUUUAUGAGUUUGUCUAGGAUACUUGGGUACGACUUUGUACUAUGCUUUGGUUUCUGUGAUUCUUCUUAGCCUAAUUCGAUGUCUUUUGGUCCUAAUGUGCCUCGAUUGAUGUUCUUGGUUCGACUCUUCUACUGAUUCCAUAUGUUCAUGUUCAUUUUUUUACCUAUUCAUUGUAAAACUAUACUUUUCCCUUAAAUUAGUGAUUGAUUUGGAUUCUUGAUUUAUCAGUUUGUUUUGUUAAGACCCAUUCCUGACUAUUUCCUUAUUUACAAUCUUGAGCCGCUUUCUUACCUUGUUUGAUUAAUUAUGAUAUUUACUGAUUCGUUACCAAUCAUUUCUUUAAUUAAAAAUCUAUCUAUUUACCCCUAAUUUCUCGUUGAUUUUAUUUCCUUAAAUGUAUUUUGCCUUUACCAUUGGUUGAUUACCCUUAUUUAAGGAAAAAUUAUACUAACUGAUGUAUAAUUGAUUCUGUGGCUUCCUUAAUUGCAGAAGGGUUGAUUCCCUUUACCUUAUUUUUCUCUUGCUCUUAACUGCUAUAUAUACUCUCCUUUACUCCUCACUUCGAGACACGAACACUAGUUCAUCUACACUCUCACACUCUCAAAAGCUCUCUAUUCUCUUCCGUUACUUGCAAUUGUUAUUAAUCCAGCUAGCUGUAAGCCAAGGCUGGCUACUUGCACCAUCUCUGCUCUAUACUCUGUAUUUUCUCCUUAACUAGUAUGUUCUGAUUCAAUUCACAUCCCAAAACUAUGUGUUUUCUUUGUUGCUGCAGUUCAUCAGUUAUGAUUUCUAUGUUCUAUUUGCUAUUCUACUCAAUAUGCAAUCAACAUGCCUAGAUUACAGUAUCACACAACAUGUUUAAGUUUAUUCUGUUAAAAGCUAUAGCUAGUAUACUGUUUAGCAUGCCAAACCCGCUUUAAAUAGUUGGUUCACUAGCAUGUCCAAGCUGCAUUAUAUGUUUAUUAUUUUACCCAGCAUGACCAAAUUCUGGCUGUUCUAUAUAUGAUUAGUAUUUCUAAAACCUUGAAUGCUUCAUGAAGUGUUUGUCUAGUUUGAUCAUCUAAGUUCAACUUGCUCUACUGCACUAAUGAGAUCCUAUUUGUGUCUAAGACCUGUGUGUUCUCAACUUAACUAACAAUCUGUGUGUUUGUUUGCCAUCACUAAGGUGCAUUCUAGGUGUCCCCUACCCCUUUCCGUUGUCUGAAGUCUGUUCUGAAACUGUGUGUUCUGUGACUUGCUCUCUGAUCCUAAAAAAUGUUCUUCAUGUUUUCUCAAACUAUUUCUACCAUAACUAUAUAUUGGUUUUCAGAAAAUUCUUUCCAUUAGACCCUCUUGCUACUGCUUAUCAAACUCUUUCAAAUCAUUAUGCACUCUCACAUUACUCUUAGAUUGCUAAGUCCUGCCCCUCUGAUAUGUGUACUGCUUUUAGACCCUAGAGAUCUCUCUGAACUCUGGCAUAUCAGAGAUGGCACUUCCACACUACACAUAAUCAAUCUUUGUUUGAGUAAAGUCUGGGUGUGAGCACUGCCCGGGAUCCUUGAGGUCCUUAGGGAAAUUUGACCCACCUAGACAUGAAUUGGGCUAUGGAACUUUGGGUAUUUGAGAUCAGUAAAGGCUUGGUACACCAUGACUAUUUUGGGCCUGCUUCAAGCUCCCUAUAGCUUAAUUUCUGUUCUAUUUAUGUAAUUCAUUCAAUUCUUGGUUUGUAAUAAUUAAUUGUAAACAAACAAUGGGGUGAUUAGUGGAAAGGGAGGGUAGUUGUAUAUUGCGGGCAAAAUUGGGUAGAUACCAUGCCUAUAGGGCCCUUAUUGCUUCAAAUGUGUUUGUUAGAUAACAUACCAACAGGAUCCGCUUUGGUUUAAAGAAGUUCUAUUUGCUUUACUUCCACACAAUUAGAAACCAUGCCUAUUGGAUUUAAAUUAACUUUUAAUAAUUAGAUAUCAUGCCUAUAGGAGUUAAAAUCAGCCUUAAUAGAAAUCAUACCUAUAAGGGUUUCACUGUGGUCGAAUUAAUUCUGCUUGCUUCACCUUAUGUUUAAUUAGAAAUCAUGCCUAUAGGACUUAAACCAGUUAAAUUAGAAAAUCGAUUUAAUUCAUGUUUAUUCUGAAUCGGUUUAAGUAACUAAUCUAUCCGCUUGUUUAAUAAGUUUUAACGUUGCCCUAAGAAAGCAUGCCUAUAGGAUCCCAAAGUGCCCGUUUAAGAAUUGUUUACUUUUUUACUGCAUUCCUAAUCAGUAGUUGAUACCAUGCUCUUAGGACAUCACUAUUAUACGCCUAGGCAAGCCUAUAUGGCGAUUAAAAUCCUGCAACUAUAAAACUGCGCUUUGUUAUUUGAGACUACUCACAUUCAACAUGUCUAAAAUCAGUAGGCAAGCUGAAUAGGCCUUUGACACUUUGGUCCUAAUUCAAUACUGUACAAUCUCUGCUCACCUAGAUAUCAUGUUCUAAGGUUUUCUCUUAAAUAUUUGAAACUAUUGUUUGAGACGUGCACUUAUAUGUUAUGUUUGUGGAGGUAAAUGCGAGCCUUUAAUUAUUCUCUUCAAUGCAAUCCUAAUUGUUUUGAUUGACGCUUAGACUUUUCUCCUUUAAAUACCUUAGGAUAGUCUAGAACCACUUAAAUUAGAGGUCCUAAAUACCUCCAGGGGCACAAAGAAGGGACGGGUAGUGCACGCAUAGGAUAUCAUUCAAGGUUUCUAGAACGCUUUAGGCUAUGACCAAAGGGAGGAAAUUGGGUAGUAAGGAAUAUGAUGAAUACGCGCUAAUGUCACGUGUAGCCCCUUGUUGAGGAGUGUUUACCGAGCAUUGUGUGGGUAUGAUCCUGUAGGCUAACCAACCUAGGACCCCUCUUUCCCAACUCCCGUUGAUUAAAUAAAUUUACUUUUUCUUUAUAUGUGCAACUUGUUCCAACCCUUUUCCCUUGUUCCAUUACUUGAAUCAUACAUGUGCUUAUAAUGACAAAACAUGCCUUUGCUUGCAAGUACGUAUUAAAAUUAUUUAUUUGUAAAAGGACUACUUCACAUAGCUUAAGUUCAGUCGGGACCCACUGUUGUGGACCGCGAGGGUGCCUAACACCUUCCCCUCAAGGUUAUUUUGAGCCCUUACCCUAAAUCUCUGGUAAUGCAAACUAGUUCAUGAGUUAAUUGCUCAAGGUUCCCUAACGCACCAUAAUCCGUUAGGUGACGACUCUUCAAAUACCCAAUUCCUAAAAGUAAAUGAGUUAUUCCCCCCAUGAAUGUCGAAACCCGGACUUCUCCAUCAAAAAGGGAAAAAAGGGGGCGGGACACUUGUUUCACUAAAUUCCGACUCCAAAUCAAUGUUCAAAACUCAAAAAUUCAUAUUAUGAAACUUUAGGCCAAAACCCCCAAUUUCCUCUUUAAAUUCAUCAACCAAAAGCUAAAAUUGAAGAUAGAUUCAUGAAACAUAACCAAAACUGAGUAGAGAACACUUACCCCCAUUCAUAUGGUGAAAAUAGCUUCAAGAAUCGCCUCAAUCUGAGCUCUAUAGCUAAAAAAUGUAAAAAUGACCGAAACCCUCGAAAUAGAGUACUUUAUAACCACUGAGCAACUUAAUGCAUCGCGAUCGCGAAGAAGAAAACUUAUACUCCUGUAAAAUGCCAUAAACGAUCGCAUAUGUCAGCUCGCGAUCAUGGUAUACACAGCUAACAAAGCUAUGCAUUCGCGGAAGAAACCUUGCGAACGCGAAGAUAUAACCAACACUGCCUCAGCUCAAACCCAAACACAAUGCGAACGCGUUCUCAACAUCGCAAAUGCGAUGCUUAACUGCCAUAACCUAUGCGAACACGGACCAUCACUUGCGAACACAUAGAAGAAGAAUUAGCCUGCUCCACUUUUCCUUUAUGCUAUCACACCACUAAGUCCGCGAUCGCGAUGAAGAAAUGCGACACCAGAUAUCAGCAGAACACAACAGUGAAAAAUGAAGGAAAAAUAGUUUGAAACCCGUCCGAAACUCACUGAGCCCCUCUGAACCAUGUCCGAACAUCCCAACAAGUCCCAUAAUAUAACACGGACCUUCACGAGGCCUCAAAACACACAUAACAAUAUCGAAUCGACGAAUCACACCUUAAUUCGAAAUCAAUGAACUUUAAAACUUCAAACUUCUACAACCGAUGCCGAAACCUAUCAAAUCUUCACAUUUGGCAUUACGGACCUGCUCCAACUUCCAAAAUCGGAAUCCAAACCCGAUAUAAAAAAGUCCACUCCCGGUCAACCUUUCGAAAAUUCCAACUGUCAUAUCCCUUUUUUUUGCAAAACCUCACUAACCCUCUUAAAUAAAUAAAAAGAUUUCGCAAAGCUCGAAAGAAAUUUUCAAUUUUGAAAGUGACAAAAGAUAGUGUUCAAAAGGAUUAACUCAGAGUCGCCACCUGACAUUUGAUUUCGGUGUGUCAGGUCACCGUUUUUCUAAAAAUAAUUUUUUUUUUCCUUUCAAAACACUUGAGACUCCAAAACUAAGUCUACACAAGAGAUUCGGGUAAGGAGGUUCAUUUGACUCGGGGAGAAGGUGUUAGGCACUCCCCAAGUCCCGUAACUAGUACGGUUGCAUACUUGAUCUAGUUAGCUUUUAAAAUAUUCAAGUUGAGGUAAAAUCACGAAAAAGCAAAAUAAACACACAUGAGGCUCGAGGUUGUCCCCACCUAAUAAAAGAUGAAUAAAAAUAAAAAUAAAAACACUACGAGUUCUACUAUCGAUCUCCAAGUACAAAUACUUCGGGGCAUACCCCGGAAUAAAAUAUAUACAAAUCUUUCGGGGCAUUCCUCGAACAAAUUUAACUAAGGAAACGACCUCUCACCUCAAAAGAAACUAAAAUCAAAUGCCCUAAAGGUUUUCCUACCCAAGCGUGGCCGGCCUAAGGAUACUACUAGCGGGUCAAUUAGCAAAUGCAAAAAACAAAUUCACAGAAAUUCAAUUGAUUCUAUUUAAUCCAACCCCACAUUCCAUUUCCAACAAAAUUCUUUCAUAUCUUCAUUCUCAAAUGUAUAGAGCAUAUUAUAACGUAAUUCAGUGAAGCCAACCAAGAUCAAAGUCAUAACACAUUAAUUCAACGAUUCGAGGAACAAAUCAAACAAAGUAAAGCUAACCAAGAUUAAAGUUAUAGCAGAUUCAAACUCACAGAUUAAUAAACGGGGAUAAAAGAGAUGAACCUGAAAAAUGAUCUUGCAAUUAAUAUAAUUUUGACAGUCCAUGGAUAGAAUACGCAGCUACAAAUGGAAUUCAAAUAGAAAAUCCAGCUCGAACAAAACCAAUGGACCACACCCCGGACGGCAACUCCAACAAUCGAACACCAAUUUCAACUCUGCUUUAUUUCGGAAGCCAGGACCAAAAUAACAACCUUUUAUUGAUGAACAAAGCUGAAAAUUACAUAUCAAUCGGGCUAAAUAAAGCAACAAUCUUUGGACCGAAAUACCGAAAUUGCAAACCGGAACCUCAAAUCGACACCCGAAAAAGAAAUCGAAACCCAAAUCGGAAGGCAAAAAGUGCCAAUCCUAAAUUGAUAAAAUUAUCAGUAAUGGCUUCCUUGGAGAUUGUGCUCUAAUUCAGUGGAGUCAACCCAUUUUCCUUGUUGGCUUUCAUUAAUUAAGUGGUCACGUGACUGACUUGGUCACAUAGAUGCCUAAAACAUUAAAUUGCAAGUCAAGGAUGUGUAGAAGGAGAUUGGUUCAUAUUGAUUCAUGUCAAUUUUUAUAUAUGGCAUCCUGAGAUUGUGUGAAUGACUUGGAUGGUUUUCAGACUCUAGGAAAAGAAGUUGAGCAACGUGAUAGCGGGGCAUGCCUUUUCCGAUGAAGGUUCAACUGAUCGAUUCUUCAACAUUCAGAGAAUCAAUCCUUCUUCUUGACCAUACUGCUUCAGCGUCCUUUUGAGUCGCACAAAAUUAAUUGCUCAAAAGAUUUUUCAGAACCAAAAUUCCUCCAGUUUUUUGAAUGCUGCCAUUUUUCUUUGUUUUUAGUCUAGGUCUUUGGGUGAGACGUGAUGGCUGGUCGUGAGUUUUUUGGUCUAGAGUUUAAGAUGAUGAUGGAGAAUGGUUGUUAUGUGUGUAGGAGAUGAGGGGACGGCUGGUGGUGUGUUGCGGCUUCUCUCCCUAAAGUUCUAGGGUUUUUCUUUGGUUAU